UAGGGAAUCUUCGGCAAUGGACGAAAGUCUGACCGAGCAACGCCGCGUGAGUGAAGAAGGUUUUCGGAUCGUAAAACUCUGUUGUUAGAGAAGAACAAGGACGUUAGUAACUGAACGUCCCCUGACGGUAUCUAACCAGAAAGCCACGGCUAACUACGUGCCAGCAGCCGCGGUAAUACGUAGGUGGCAAGCGUUGUCCGGAUUUAUUGGGCGUAAAGCGAGCGCAGGCGGUUUCUUAAGUCUGAUGUGAAAGCCCCCGGCUCAACCGGGGAGGGUCAUUGGAAACUGGGAGACUUGAGUGCAGAAGAGGAGAGUGGAAUUCCAUGUGUAGCGGUGAAAUGCGUAGAUAUAUGGAGGAACACCAGUGGCGAAGGCAGGUCACUGGGCCAUUACUGACGCUGAGGAGCGAAAGCAUGGGUAGCGAACAGG
RNAcentral lists this ribosomal RNA (429 nucleotides) under Chloroflexota bacterium. RNAcentral's name for it is "Chloroflexi bacterium partial 16S ribosomal RNA". It matches the Rfam family "Bacterial small subunit ribosomal RNA", at positions 355 to 776 of the family's 1533-position model. The record is from RNAcentral. Lineage: Bacteria; Bacillati; Chloroflexota.